UUGAGUGCUCUUGCCCUUGAUGUGAAGUUCGUAGUGCCCUUCCCUGCCCCGUCAGCAGCAAAAGGCUUCACGGGAGCUCGCAGGGCGGGUGCAAUUGUCGCCAGGAGACGGACGGGUCACUCCCUGGUUUUGCUUCCAAUUGAAGCAGAGAUUAAUGCCGGUGUCACCAGCUCCUAAAACAGCUCUGGUAGAAGACUUGUUGCUGUGCCUUUGGCUGUUGUCGAAUGGGAAGAAAAAGCAGCAGAUGGAGCAAUGAGAAAGACUUCCUUGAUGGAGCUUUUGGCUUUCCUUGUAAGGGGAUCUUUAUUUUGGAACACUCCCUCCCAUAGGCUGAGAUAACAGUCCUCCGGAAGAGCUGGAAAACACACAAAAACUGCUCAAUUGGUUUCAGAAGGUGAACAUAAGUGAAAAUUUUGUGAUCAAGUGUCUACUUACAGCUUUGUUAUCAGUUUCUCACAGAUGUCACAAAAGCAGCGAGUCCUGUAUUAUGUUGCGGAGGAAGAACAGAGCCUUCAGGAUCAGUUUAUGGAGGGGGCAAAGGUUCUGUCACCCAAAAGGCCCUGUAAAUUGCUGGCCAAUUUAUGGUGCCAGGUUGUUUUUUGCUUUGGCAGAGCUUAAAGGUGAGUGGGAAUGGUGUGCAAAUCGAUCCCGAGGCAAUCAAUGACACGGCAGCUGGCCAGAGCUGAACACCGAUGCGCUGAUCGCCUCCAAAUCAAUUCACAUGCUGCUCUUGCUCAGGUUACCUGCCACUUCAGCAGGGAGGCACGGAUGGGGAACUGAGGAGAAAAUUGCACAAAAAGUAUUCUGGGACCUUUCUAAAUAGGCCACUUACUUGCAACCCUUCUUCCCUUCUAUGUACUGGAUAUAUAAAUAUACUGGAUGUAAGGAUAUGAAAAGGUCACGACGCAGUGCCUUGUUUGAAACUCAGACAUUGCUCAAAGGGAGCAGAGUGGGGCCCUGGAGAAAGCCUGGGAAAUUGUGUGGAAGAGACAGCAGUCCUGUGUCUUCUUCGCUGUUUUCUGCCUUGGUGUAAGGUAUUUAACUAGUCAAGCAUUGCUGUUCGGGUGUGCACAAGCUUAAAUAAUCCUGUGGAGUGUUGUGCCACGGGGAACUGUGGUUCCUAAUUUCUAAAACUCCUCAAGGUGAGCGGCUUUUGUUUUGUUUUAAUAAGCCAGAGUUGUGCAUGUUGAAAGUGCCUAUUGUACAAAGAUCUCAAUUUACUUGGCAAACUUCCAUGCAUUAAGUCUCCCUGCUUUGCUGUCAAGGAGUGAGGUAUUGUUAUCUCCAUUAAG
Long non-coding RNA from Hirundo rustica (Barn swallow), 1292 nucleotides. RefSeq lists it as uncharacterized. NCBI's taxonomy places the organism in Eukaryota, Metazoa, Chordata, Aves, Passeriformes, Hirundinidae. The record is from RefSeq and is a predicted model, not a curated record. The transcript is spliced from 7 exons.